GGCACCGUUGCCGAGGCCGACAUGGCGCUGAUCUACGGCAUCGGCUUCCCGCCGUUCCGCGGCGGCGCGCUGCGC
RNAcentral lists this transfer RNA (75 nucleotides) under Halomonas lysinitropha. RNAcentral describes it as "Halomonas sp. 3(2) tRNA-Arg". The record is from RNAcentral. Lineage: Bacteria; Pseudomonadati; Pseudomonadota; Gammaproteobacteria; Oceanospirillales; Halomonadaceae.